Molecule: non-coding RNA, 388 nt
Organism: Pelobates cultripes (western spadefoot toad)
Lineage: Eukaryota; Metazoa; Chordata; Amphibia; Anura; Pelobatidae
Source: the annotation of a GenBank genome assembly
GUGAAUUGCCGGUGAUUUCAAAUCAGUGCGGUGAAUUGCCGAUGAUUUCAGUGCUGUUUUUGAAAAUCCAUUUGUUUUUAACCCUUUGCAUGCCAUGCUGCAUACUCUUUAUUUAUACGUAAUAAACAGGUACAGCUAAAAAGACCAAAACAAACUGCAGCAGUCUACAGCUGCAGAAAGACUUUUCAUGAUUUCAGAUCGCUGCAGUGAAUUGCCAAUGCUGUCACACAUGACAAUUUGUGGAUUUAUUUUAACCCUUUAUGUGCUGUGCUAUAUUGUGUAGCACCCAAAAAACCGACACGUUCAGCAUGGCACUUAAAGGGUUAAGCAAAACCCCAAUUUUCAAAAACAGCACUGAAAUCAUCGGCAAUUCACCGUACUGAUUUGA